RNAcentral lists this ribosomal RNA (279 nucleotides) under uncultured bacterium. RNAcentral's name for it is "partial 16S ribosomal RNA". It matches the Rfam family "Bacterial small subunit ribosomal RNA", at positions 506 to 784 of the family's 1533-position model. The record is from RNAcentral.
UGCCAGCAGCCGCGGUAAUACGAAGGGACCUAGCGUAGUUCGGAAUUACUGGGCUUAAAGAGCUCGUAGGCGGAUUAUUAAGUCUGAUGUGAAAUCCCGCGGCUCAACCGCGGACGUGCAUUGGAUACUGGUAAUCUUGAGUCCCGGAGAGGAGAGCGGAAUUCCUAGUGUAGAGGUGAAAUUCGUAGAUAUUAGGAGGAACACCAGUGGCGAAAGCGGCUCUCUGGACGGUGACUGACGCUGAGGCACGAAAGCAUAGGUAGCAAACAGGAUUAGAUA